Molecule: transfer RNA, 22 nt
Filed under: Inga umbellifera
Lineage: Eukaryota; Viridiplantae; Streptophyta; Magnoliopsida; Fabales; Fabaceae
Description: partial tRNA-His
Source: RNAcentral
AUGUAGCCAAGUGGAUCAAGGC